AGGAUGAACGCUAGCGGCAGGCCUAAUACAUGCAAGUCGAGGGGGAUUGGGGAGCUUGCUCCCCAUGAGACCGGCGCACGGGUGCGUAACGCGUAUGCAACCUGCCUUGAUCAGGGGGAUAGCCCGGAGAAAUCCGGAUUAACACCGCAUAAAACCACAGCACAGCAUUGUGCAAUGGUCAAAUAUUCAUAGGAUCAAGAUGGGCAUGCGUGCCAUUAGCUAGUUGGUAGGGUAACGGCCUACCAAGGCGACGAUGGCUAGGGGGAUCGUGAGACGGGAUGGGCCCCCCAGACGUGGUACUGGAGACACGGACCAGACUCCUACGGGAGCAGCAGUAAGGAAUAUGGUACAAUGGAGGCAACUCGUGAACCAGCCUAUGCCGCGUAGCGAGGAGACGAGCCCUAAGGGUCUAAAC
RNAcentral lists this ribosomal RNA (415 nucleotides) under uncultured soil bacterium. RNAcentral describes it as "bacterial SSU rRNA". It matches the Rfam family "Bacterial small subunit ribosomal RNA", at positions 26 to 430 of the family's 1533-position model. The record is from RNAcentral.